This 2893-nucleotide ribosomal RNA is filed under the name Acinetobacter baumannii. RNAcentral describes it as "23S ribosomal RNA". It matches the Rfam family "Bacterial large subunit ribosomal RNA". Lineage: Bacteria; Pseudomonadati; Pseudomonadota; Gammaproteobacteria; Moraxellales; Moraxellaceae. The record is from RNAcentral.
AGUCAAGUAAUUAAGUGCAUGUGGUGGAUGCCUUGGCAGUCAGAGGCGAUGAAAGACGUGAUAGCCUGCGAAAAGCUCCGGGGAGGCGGCAAAUAUCCUUUGAUCCGGAGAUGUCUGAAUGGGGGAACCCACCUACUUUAAGGUAGGUAUUGCAACAUGAAUACAUAGUGUUGCAAGGCGAACGAGGGGAAGUGAAACAUCUCAGUACCCUUAGGAAAAGAAAUCAAUUGAGAUUCCCUCAGUAGCGGCGAGCGAACGGGGAUCAGCCCAUUAAGUUAUGUGUGUUUUAGUGGAACGCUCUGGGAAGUGCGAACGUAGAGGGUGAUAUUCCCGUACACGAAAGGGCACACAUAAUGAUGACGAGUAGGGCGAGGCACGUGAAACCUUGUCUGAAUAUGGGGGGACCAUCCUCCAAGGCUAAAUACUCCUGACUGACCGAUAGUGAACCAGUACCGUGAGGGAAAGGCGAAAAGAACCCCUGUGAGGGGAGUGAAAUAGAUCCUGAAACCGCAUGCAUACAAGCAGUGGGAGCACCUUCGUGGUGUGACUGCGUACCUUUUGUAUAAUGGGUCAGCGACUUAUAUUCAGUAGCGAGGUUAACCGUAUAGGGGAGCCGUAGAGAAAUCGAGUCUUAAUAGGGCGUUUAGUUGCUGGGUAUAGACCCGAAACCAGGCGAUCUAUCCAUGAGCAGGUUGAAGGUUGGGUAACACUAACUGGAGGACCGAACCCACUGUCGUUGAAAAGCCAGGGGAUGACUUGUGGAUAGGGGUGAAAGGCUAAUCAAGCCUGGUGAUAGCUGGUUCUCCCCGAAAGCUAUUUAGGUAGCGCCUCGGACGAAUACCAUAGGGGGUAGAGCACUGUUUCGGCUAGGGGGUCAUCCCGACUUACCAAACCGAUGCAAACUCCGAAUACCUAUGAGUACUAUCCGGGAGACAGACUGCGGGUGCUAACGUCCGUAGUCAAGAGGAAAACAAUCCAGACCGCCAGCUAAGGCCCCAAAAUCAUAGUUAAGUGGGAAACGAUGUGGGAAGGCAUAGACAGCUAGGAGGUUGGCUUAGAAGCAGCCACCCUUUAAAGAAAGCGUAAUAGCUCACUAGUCGAGUCGGCCUGCGCGGAAGAUGUAACGGGGCUAAAACUAUGUGCCGAAGCUGCGGAUGUAUACUUUGUAUACGUGGUAGGGGAGCGUUCUGUAAGCCGAUGAAGGUGUGUUGAGAAGCAUGCUGGAGGUAUCAGAAGUGCGAAUGCUGACGUGAGUAACGACAAAACGGGUGAAAAACCCGUUCGCCGAAAGACCAAGGGUUCCAGUCCAACGUUAAUCGGGGCUGGGUGAGUCGACCCCUAAGGCGAGGCCGAAAGGCGUAGUCGAUGGGAAAAUGGUUAAUAUUCCAUUACUUCUGUGUAAUGCGAUGAGAGGACGGAGAAGGCUAAAUCAGCCUGGCGUUGGUUGUCCAGGUGAAAGGAUGUAGGCAUGUAUCUUAGGCAAAUCCGGGGUACUCUAUGCUGAGAUCUGAUAGCAAGCUGUACUUGUACAGCGAAGUGGUUGAUGCCAUGCUUCCAGGAAAAGUCUCUAAGCUUCAGUUACACAGGAAUCGUACCCGAAACCGACACAGGUGGUCAGGUCGAGUAGACCAAGGCGCUUGAGAGAACUCUGCUGAAGGAACUAGGCAAAAUGGUACCGUAACUUCGGGAGAAGGUACGCUGUUGUUGGUGAUGGAACUCGCUUCCUGAGCUGACGACAGCCGCAGAAACCAGGCCGCUGCAACUGUUUAUUAAAAACAUAGCACUCUGCAAACACGAAAGUGGACGUAUAGGGUGUGAUGCCUGCCCGGUGCUGGAAGGUUAAUUGAUGGGGUUAGCGUAAGCGAAGCUCUUGAUCGAAGCCCCAGUAAACGGCGGCCGUAACUAUAACGGUCCUAAGGUAGCGAAAUUCCUUGUCGGGUAAGUUCCGACCUGCACGAAUGGCAUAAUGAUGGCGGCGCUGUCUCCAGCAGAGGCUCAGUGAAAUCGAAAUCGCUGUGAAGAUGCAGUGUACCCGCGGCUAGACGGGAAGACCCCGUGAACCUUUACUGCAGCUUGACACUGAACUUUGACCUUACUUGUGUAGGAUAGGUGGGAGGCUUUGAAGCUGGAACGCUAGUUCCAGUGGAGCCGUCCUUGAAAUACCACCCUGGUAAUGUUGAGGUUCUAACUCUGUCCCGUGAUCCGGGACGAGGACCGUGUCUGGUGGGUAGUUUGACUGGGGCGGUCUCCUCCUAAAGAGUAACGGAGGAGUACGAAGGUGCGCUCAGCGUGGUCGGAAAUCACGCGUAGAGUAUAAAGGCAAAAGCGCGCUUAACUGCGAGACCCACAAGUCGAGCAGGUACGAAAGUAGGUCUUAGUGAUCCGGUGGUUCUGUAUGGAAGGGCCAUCGCUCAACGGAUAAAAGGUACUCUGGGGAUAACAGGCUGAUACCGCCCAAGAGUUCAUAUCGACGGCGGUGUUUGGCACCUCGAUGUCGGCUCAUCUCAUCCUGGGGCUGAAGCAGGUCCCAAGGGUAUGGCUGUUCGCCAUUUAAAGAGGUACGCGAGCUGGGUUUAGAACGUCGUGAGACAGUUCGGUCCCUAUCUACCGUGGGCGCUGGAAAUUUGAGAGGAUCUGCUCCUAGUACGAGAGGACCAGAGUGGACGAACCUCUGGUGUACCGGUUGUGACGCCAGUCGCAUCGCCGGGUAGCUAUGUUCGGAAGGGAUAACCGCUGAAAGCAUCUAAGCGGGAAGCCUACCUCAAGAUAAGAUUUCCCUAGGACUUUAUGUCCUCUAAAGAGCCGUUCGAGACUAGGACGUUGAUAGGUUGGAUGUGGAAGCAUAGUGAUAUGUGAAGCUGACCAAUACUAAUUGCUCGUGAGGCUUGACUAU